This 521-nucleotide ribosomal RNA is filed under the name Yarrowia lipolytica. RNAcentral describes it as "eukaryotic LSU rRNA". It matches the Rfam family "Eukaryotic large subunit ribosomal RNA", at positions 62 to 669 of the family's 3401-position model. The record is from RNAcentral. Lineage: Eukaryota; Fungi; Ascomycota; Dipodascomycetes; Dipodascales.
AAACCAACAGGGAUUGCCUCAGUAACGGCGAGUGAAGCGGCAAAAGCUCAAAUUUGAAACCCUCGGGAUUGUAAUUUGAAGAUUUGGCAUUGGAGAAAGCUAACCCAAGUUACUUGGAAUAGUACGUCAUAGAGGGUGACAACCCCGUCUGGCUAACCGUUCUCCAUGUAUUGCCUUAUCAAAGAGUCGAGUUGUUUGGGAAUGCAGCUCAAAGUGGGUGGUAAACUCCAUCUAAAGCUAAAUACUGGUGAGAGACCGAUAGCGAACAAGUACUGUGAAGGAAAGGUGAAAAGAACUUUGAAAAGAGAGUGAAAUAGUAUGUGAAAUUGUUGAUAGGGAAGGAAAUGAGUGGAGAGUGGUUUAGGUUUCAGCCUUCUUUCGAGGGGGUGCACUACCAACGCCGAGUCAUUGAUAGCGAGACAGGGGUUAUAAACGGACGGCACUUGUGCUAUUCUCCUAACCCCUCUACUGCCACCAACGACAUAAUCCACCCAUUUCACCCGUCUUGAAACACGGACCAA